RNAcentral lists this non-coding RNA (243 nucleotides) under Novosphingobium barchaimii. The record is from RNAcentral. Lineage: Bacteria; Pseudomonadati; Pseudomonadota; Alphaproteobacteria; Sphingomonadales; Sphingomonadaceae.
AACAUAUAUGAUCGCGCCGGUGCCUUGAGAGAGGCUUAAAAGGGAACGCGGUGACGAUGGCGUGCCCAUCCAAUCCGAGGCUGUCCCUGCAACUGUAAGCGGUAGUGCGAUGCGCAUCGCUUCCCUCGGCUAUCGAGGGAAGCAGCCACUGGGCCGGACGUUCGCGUCUGUCAUGGCCUGGGAAGGCCGUGCGUCAAACGAUGACCCGUGAGCCAGGAGACCUGCCGGUGCUGGGUCGCUCUU